RNAcentral lists this ribosomal RNA (262 nucleotides) under uncultured prokaryote. RNAcentral describes it as "partial 16S ribosomal RNA". It matches the Rfam family "Bacterial small subunit ribosomal RNA", at positions 524 to 784 of the family's 1533-position model. The record is from RNAcentral.
UACGUAGGGUGCGAGCGUUGUCCGGAAUUACUGGGCGUAAAGAGCUCGUAGGUGGUUUGUCGCGUCGUCUGUGAAAUUCCGGGACUUAACUUCGGGCGUGCAGGCGAUACGGGCAAUACUUGAGUGCUGUAGGGGAGACUGGAAUUCCUGGUGUAGCGGUGGAAUGCGCAGAUAUCAGGAGGAACACCGAUGGCGAAGGCAGGUCUCUGGGCAGUAACUGACGCUGAGGAGCGAAAGCAUGGGUAGCGAACAGGAUUAGAUA